RNAcentral lists this unclassified non-coding RNA (4099 nucleotides) under Hevea brasiliensis (rubber tree). The record is from RNAcentral. Lineage: Eukaryota; Viridiplantae; Streptophyta; Magnoliopsida; Malpighiales; Euphorbiaceae.
UUCCCAAUCAUUGCUCGUUCAAGCCAGACAACAACUGCUCAAGUGGCGUGCCGAAAUUUCCACAAAAGAUGUCACCUCCAAAUAUAAAGCCCAAGUUUAAACAAAAGUCAAAGAUUAAGACUACAAUCAUAGAGUAAGUAAAGACACAGCUAUAUGGGCGUAUACAUUAAUGAACAGAAAUGUAGGUUCCUUCUUUUGUUUGUGAAAUUAUAAUUCUUUCUUCUGUACUCAACAGUAGAAACAUACAAAUUUUGCCAAGUCACUAUAGACAUCAGGCAACUGCGUGGUGGCCCAAAAUUGGUAUAAAAGUUGAAUAUUCAUUUUCUGGUGGGACAGUAAGGGUAGAUAACUACAUCCUUCACCAUGAAUUUACAUGGCUUUAGGCCUCCGCAGACUCUUCACUUUGCAACUCUCAUGCAAGCGGGUGAAGAUUAUGCCUGCUUGUACAGUAACAAUGGGCUGACAUCUCCCAUCAUCCAUUGUAGCAAAUCUACGCCCACUCCUAGCAAUCUGAACAUUUGUCCCAUGUAAAGCCGCAAACAAAUAUGUACAUGGCUCUCAAAAAGGUAUGUAUAAAAGGGCGCAUGAACUUCAAACAACACUGGUGCUGGAUCGUGCUAUCCUCUGAGCUUCUUCGAGAUCCUUCAGAAACCUCUUUGAAUUAAGAACUACAGAACCACCAAGUAUGAAACGAAUUCCAGAAUUGCUAGCAUUUUGCAAAGCAACUGAACGAGACUCCUCAUAUGUUGUCCCACCAACAAUGAAAAUAACCACAUCCUGUGGCCUGAACAAAAGAUAUAGUUUAUGUCAUUUGAAAUGGAAUCCAAGGCAUUGGUUGCUUUUCCAUUUUCUAAAACACAACUAGAUUUCUUUCUUCCACCAAAGCGAUUAUGUUCAAUACCACAACAGAACAUAAUUAAGCUUUGAGGGUCUAGAGAACAGAGAAAGCUACAGAGAAUUAGAACAGUGUCAAAGGAAGAAAAUGAGCAGUAGAUUAAGAUACUGAUGUAGACAUCAUAAUGAGACAGAAUCUCAAAUUAGCUGUCAAGUUAUAGAUAAGUAAUACUGCUGAUAGGAUCAACUGCUACAACUCCAGGGCCCUAAGCCUGCCAACUGAUACUGCACGUCAUGCAAAACAUGUCCACUGUCUUUGCAGUUUGCACAUAAUGUGGCUUAAAUCACCAUUCAAUGGCAUCCAAUGCCUGAAAUAUCAAUAGUCCACCAAAAAUGUUUGACCAUAAUGAAAGGUGACACGACAGCCCAUCGUCUUUUACCUGACAUCAAUGAUUCAUUCACAAUUCUAGAUGCCCCCUCUCAAUUAGUGCCCAAAGUAAAAGCCAGUGACCUUGAAUACAAUCAUCUUAAAAAAAAAUUUUCUACUGUUCUGUUCUGAGAUUCUAGUUAACCACUUCAUAUUAGAAAUAAAGUAUUAAACAUGAUAGCUUAAAAUCUCUCUUGGGAUGUGAUUGAGGUUGAAUGAAAAAUAACUAUGAUGAUGGGUUAAAUAUGUCUACCGUCAGCUUAAAUAUAACACAAGUGCAUGCAAACAAAUACAAUAUAUAUUAACCAUGUUAAGUGCAUCCUGAUGAGUCACCUAAUCAAUCAUCAACUUGUGUUUAACUUAAAAAUGUAAAUACAAAUUACUAAAUGGAUCUGCAGUUUGGCGCAUCAAUUUGUGGAACCUACCUCAAAUGACAAACUCAAGCUGUUAAUACCAAUUGCUGCCCCACAGAUUAAUUUCAAAAGUACAACAGAACAAUAAUCAUAAUUUUUCCAUUCUUUAUAUCACCUACCUUCCCUGUUGAAAGUGAUUCCCAACAAAAGGGUAGUCCACAUCUCUCAUCCGCCCUUUAAUUAUACUUUCCAUGGUUUGGAACAGGAGAGGCUGGUGCUGGGUGUACACAUUUUCAACCCCCUUUAAGCCACGGGCCAUAUUACGAGCAAUAUUCAAAAGAUCCCAGUUCCUGUAAAGAUCCCCAGUUCGCCUAUCCACACCUGCUUGCUUCAGGAGAAACUGGACAAGCUGCCAUUUCAUGAUGAUCAUUAUAUCAAAAACAGUUAAUGGUCAAUACAUAAAAACAGUUCUCUCUUAACCUAGCCACAGAAAAAGAUACAAGAUCUCUCGACAUAACUGUAGCCUAAGAUGUGCAAAGGAUAGAAGAAGUCCAACAACAGUCAUAAUCAAAUUAAAAAGGAGAAAAUAAAUUCAACUCUUUCAGUCCGUAUUACCACAACCCCCAAAUCAGUUAAGAGUAAAGAUUGCUGAAAGAUUUGACAAGGGUAAAUUUGACCAACGAUCUGAUCUCAUCUUCCUUUUUUCAUUCAUGAAUAAUAUAUCUGAUCAUUGAUGGCCCUUAAACAGGCAUAUGCAUCUGUAAACAUGUUACCAUUAUCACACCCUAAGGCUUGUACUCUGAAAGUAGAAUAUAGGCAAAAUUCAAAGUGUGCAGGGAGGUUAUCCUAGAUUGAUAGUUACCCCAGGCUUGUAUUUGGGAGAUCGAGAAGCCAGCUUGUUGAAAAGCUGCAUCAAUUGAACAGGAGUCUCCUUCUCAUACCACAAUGCAUAUAACAUCACCAGGUGCAGACAGUCAAUGUCAGAUACACUUUCAUAGUUUAAAAGAUCUGUCACAGCCUCAAAAGCAGCGACUUGCCCACAAUUGCAAGCCAACUCCUGUUCUGUUUCUGAAACUAACAUAAGCUUUCGUUCUUCAACUGUCUUGCGCAUUUCUGUUACUAAUGUCACAUGUUUUGAAACAUUGCCAUGCAUUUUUUGGUACUCAGGGUAAUUAUCAACAAAUUUGGCCAUGUCCUUUAUUGUCUGGAUGUUUUGGUUACUUUUUGCGACUUGCAGAAAAUCAUCCACCAUCCGCUUGAUGUUCAUUCCAAUAUCUCCAAAAUUCUCAUACAUAGCUUUGAAAAAAGCAUCUUGCUCUGAUGACAGCACAAUCUCCUGUGAAAGCAAGUGUAAGAGCAAACACAACAUGAAGAUGAUACCUAACAUGAAUUACUAAAAUUUAGAAUAUUUGUGGCAAGGGGAAAGCAAAUCAACUGCCUGAUCUUUUGGAAACUUGCCAAGACUUCUCAAAUCUACUUUGUUGUCCUGAAUGCCUAUUGAUUCAUGAACCAUAGCCUGAUAGGUCCACUGAUUCAGCAAAGGUGUCACAGGAUCAUCCCUUCGAUCAACUAUCAGCAGUAAUGGAGAUACUUCUGUCCGCCUGAAAUCAAAGAGGCCACUUUCCUGCUGGUACAUCAACUUUGCCAUCUCUUCUCCUAUCCUUUUUGCAAUGUCAGAGGUUCUUUAAUAUCAAAUAAUAGGCCUCUGUUUCAUUGCCAAGAAAACUGCUGCAAUACCAUCAACAACUCUGUCUGAGAACUGCUGCAAACCUGAAGGAUCUACAACCGCGGGAAGCAUAUAAAUGUGAUUUGAUGGAAUAUUCAAUGUGAAAUGAUAAGGAUCAACAGCAACAAAGUCUGAACUUGCUGAGCUGUACAACUUCAUGCUCAUCUGAAUCGGCUAAAAUAUGAAUCUGGGUAUCCUUCAACAUGUUGGAGAAAAAAAGGUGAUACUCCGCAAAUGCUGAAUAUUAUCUGAUGUAGGUCGUACGAACGAAGUAAACUGCUUUCAGAUGUGACAUAGAUUCUUUUGACUUAGAAAUGGAAUCUACCAAUUCUACCAAGAAUACUUCCUUCUGAAGAAGCUCUGAUUGUGAAUAGACAACCCUUACAAUACUAACCGUUUGGGGGUCGAGGACGAGAACCUUCAUGCCGGAAAUGUCCUGCAGCAUCCGGUUUAUGUAAUCCCGUACUGCCGAUACCAGCACCAUUUUCCGGGACCGGUGAGAGAUUGACCGUUUAGAUCUAGGGUUAUGAUCUUCCUGGUGAUGAUUGGAGCUGAGAAGGACUUGGUGUAGUUCAAUUCAAAGUGCAGCAGAGGAAGAAAACUCUGUCAGAUCUGCGUAGAGCCGCAGAAGCUAGGGGGAAAUAGAAGUUUAGAGCAAGGAGGCAGGAAGAGUAGAGAACCGGAAGGAGCGAAACGCACCGUUUCUUUAUUAUGUCGCACCAUUUGCGUUCAACAUCUUGAUGGUUCCUAACCCACCUG